GGCUUGGCAUAUGAGGCCUGGCUUUCGCGGCCGGCUGAAGUAUUUUUUUCACCCAUGUCUUUUGCGCACUUGUUGUUUCCUGGGCGGGUUCGCCCGCCACCAGGACCAAACCAUAAACCUUUUUUUCUUAUGCAGUUUCCAUCAGCGUCAGUAAAAACAAUGUAAUUAUUACAACUUUCAACAACGGAUCUCUUGGUUCUGGCAUCGAUGAAGAACGCAGCGAAAUGCGAUACGUAGUGUGAAUUGCAGAAUUCAGUGAAUCAUCGAAUCUUUGAACGCACAUUGCGCCCUUUGGUAUUCCAAAGGGCAUGCCUGUUCGAGCGUCAUUUGUACCUUCAAGCUUUGCUUGGUGUUGGGCGUUUUUUUGUCUCCCUCUUUCUGGGAGACUCGCCUUAAAACGAUUGGCAGCCGGCCUACUGGUUUCGGAGCGCAGCACAUUUUUUGCGCUUUGUAUCAGGAGAAAAGGACGGUACUCCAUCAAGACUCUACAUUUUUCACUUUUGACCUCGGAUCAGGUAGGGAUACCCGCUGAACUUAAGCAUAUCAAAAACCGGGAGGAA
RNAcentral lists this ribosomal RNA (560 nucleotides) under Bipolaris oryzae. Its description in RNAcentral is "eukaryotic LSU rRNA". The stretch from base 173 to 326 matches the Rfam family "5.8S ribosomal RNA". Lineage: Eukaryota; Fungi; Ascomycota; Dothideomycetes; Pleosporales; Pleosporaceae. The record is from RNAcentral.